UACGUAGGGGGCAAGCGUUGUCCGGAUUUAUUGGGCGUAAAGAGCGUGUAGGCGGCCAGACAGGUCCGUUGUGAAAACUCGAGGCUCAACCUCGAGACGCCGAUGGAAGCCGUCUGGCUAGAGUCCGGAAGAGGAGAGUGGAAUUCCUGGUGUAGCGGUGAAAUGCGCAGAUAUCAGGAAGAACACCCGUGGCUAAGGCGGCUCUCUAGUACGGUACUGACGCUGAGACGCGAAAGCGUGGGGAGCGAACAGG
This 253-nucleotide ribosomal RNA is filed under the name uncultured bacterium. RNAcentral describes it as "partial 16S ribosomal RNA". It matches the Rfam family "Bacterial small subunit ribosomal RNA", at positions 524 to 776 of the family's 1533-position model. The record is from RNAcentral.